GACAUGUGAUGUCUCUUCUCACGAUGGUCUUCCAAGUCCCAAGAGUGAGUGGACUUUGACGAGAGUUGCCAAAGGCCUUGCUGAUGUCAGUUC
This is a small nucleolar RNA of Pelodiscus sinensis (Chinese soft-shelled turtle), 93 nucleotides long. Ensembl annotates it as small nucleolar RNA SNORD35. Lineage: Eukaryota; Metazoa; Chordata; Testudines; Trionychidae. The record is from Ensembl.